Molecule: ribosomal RNA, 439 nt
Filed under: uncultured bacterium
Lineage: Bacteria
Description: partial 16S ribosomal RNA
Rfam family: Bacterial small subunit ribosomal RNA
Source: RNAcentral
CUACGGGCCGCUGCAGUGAGGAAUAUUGCACAAUGGGGGGAACCCUGAUGCAGCAACGCCGCGUGGAGGAUGACGCAUUUCGGUGUGUAAACUCCUUUUAUAUGUCAAGAAAAUGACGGUAGCAUAUGAAUAAGCACCGGCUAACUCCGUGCCAGCAGCCGCGGUAAUACGGAGGGUGCAAGCGUUACUCGGAAUCGCUGGGCGUAAAGGACGCGUAGGCGGGUUGGAAAGUCAGGUGUGAAAUCCUACAGCUUAACUGUAGAACUGCACUUGAAACUUCUAAUCCAGAGUAUGGGAGGGGGAGAUGGAAUUAGUGGUGUAGGGGUAAAAUCCGUAGAUAUCACUAGGAAUACCUAAAGCGAAGGCGAUCUCCUGGAACAUUACUGACGCUAAGGCGUGAAAGCGUGGGGAGCAAACAGGAUUAGAUACCCCGGUAGUC